AGAACAACAGAGCAGAACAUAAGAGGUGUGAGUUGAGUGAGCCUGCAUCCAAAAUUGGCUACCAGAUUAAGAGUGCUGUGGCAAGGAAGAGCCAACGACCAAACAGGAGCCAAUUCUGAAUGAUUGAAGCGUCAUAGUCGAGACUGGUAGACCCGCAUCCUAGUGGUACAUCUCUUCGAGAAAUCAUUGAGUAAUGCCAUUUCUAAGAAGUCGGGUUGAUGCAAAAGAUGGAAAGGUGGAUGAGAAGCUGACUUUGCGACCCCCUCAUUAGCUCCAUCAGCCCACAAAGUCAGUUUCUUCCUUGGCCAGC
This is a non-coding RNA of Triticum urartu, 310 nucleotides long. Lineage: Eukaryota; Viridiplantae; Streptophyta; Magnoliopsida; Poales; Poaceae. The record is from RefSeq and is a predicted model, not a curated record.